This is a long non-coding RNA of Diorhabda carinulata, 564 nucleotides long. RefSeq lists it as uncharacterized. The record is from RefSeq and is a predicted model, not a curated record. The transcript has 2 exons. NCBI's taxonomy places the organism in Eukaryota, Metazoa, Arthropoda, Insecta, Coleoptera, Chrysomelidae.
UUAUGUUAUCGAAAUAAAAAUACUGGCGAUGGGAUGUUCCAUUAGAAUACAACUAAACCAAUAAUAACAAGUAAUUAAAGAAUUUGUUAAUAUGCCAUUAAUUCAAAUAAUUAAUAAUACAAAAAGUAUAUUGAAAAGCUCUUAUGUACAUACGCACGACAAGUCGCUAUUUUGCACUUUUCUGAAUAGUACAGCAUGGCUGCAUACCAGUACGAAAUAAUGGCGGAUUCAUAAUUACCACUGACCAGUAUAUUAAUAUACAUUUCGAAAUUAAAGCAAACUAGAUUGUACUGCUCUAUUUGGUAGACCCUUCGAUGUAGCCAGAAUCUGAUUUUAUUAUCAAAUAUCUUUUAUUUGACUUGGUGUAACACAUGAAUUUACAUACAUUACCCUGUCUCCCGCCAAUUGCAUACGCAAUAAUCUCUCAACUUGCAGACUGCUUUCUCUUCACUCACAAACACGUGGUGCACAGAGUUCAGAAGAGAAAACAUCAACGAAAAAUCAUUUGACACUUAGUCCAAAUAUGACAAUGUCACAGUAAUAAAGUUCAAUUCUUGUUUUAAA